GAGUUUGAUCAUGGCUCAGAUUGAGCGCUGGCGGCAGGCCUAACACAUGCAAGUCGAACGGUAACAGGAAACAGCUUGCUGUUUCGCUGACGAGUGGCGGACGGGUGAGUAAUGUCUGGGAAACUGCCUGAUGGAGGGGGAUAACUACUGGAAACGGUAGCUAAUACCGCAUAACGUCGCAAGACCAAAGAGGGGGACCUUCGGGCCUCUUGCCAUCAGAUGUGCCCAGAUGGGAUUAGCUAGUAGGUGGGGUAACGGCUCACCUAGGCGACGAUCCCUAGCUGGUCUGAGAGGAUGACCAGCCACACUGGAACUGAGACACGGUCCAGACUCCUACGGGAGGCAGCAGUGGGGAAUAUUGCACAAUGGGCGCAAGCCUGAUGCAGCCAUGCCGCGUGUAUGAAGAAGGCCUUCGGGUUGUAAAGUACUUUCAGCGGGGAGGAAGGGAGUAAAGUUAAUACCUUUGCUCAUUGACGUUACCCGCAGAAGAAGCACCGGCUAACUCCGUGCCAGCAGCCGCGGUAAUACGGAGGGUGCAAGCGUUAAUCGGAAUUACUGGGCGUAAAGCGCACGCAGGCGGUUUGUUAAGUCAGAUGUGAAAUCCCCGGGCUCAACCUGGGAACUGCAUCUGAUACUGGCAAGCUUGAGUCUCGUAGAGGGGGGUAGAAUUCCAGGUGUAGCGGUGAAAUGCGUAGAGAUCUGGAGGAAUACCGGUGGCGAAGGCGGCCCCCUGGACGAAGACUGACGCUCAGGUGCGAAAGCGUGGGGAGCAAACAGGAUUAGAUACCCUGGUAGUCCACGCCGUAAACGAUGUCGACUUGGAGGUUGUGCCCCUGAGGCGUGGCUUCCGGAGCUAACGCGUUAAGUCGACCGCCUGGGGAGUACGGCCGCAAGGUUAAAACUCAAAUGAAUUGACGGGGGCCCGCACAAGCGGUGGAGCAUGUGGUUUAAUUCGAUGCAACGCGAAGAACCUUACCUGGUCUUGACAUCCACGGAAGUUUUCAGAGAUGAGAAUGUGCCUUCGGGAACCGUGAGACAGGUGCUGCAUGGCUGUCGUCAGCUCGUGUUGUGAAAUGUUGGGUUAAGUCCCGCAACGAGCGCAACCCUUAUCCUUUGUUGCCAGCGGUCCGGCCGGGAACUCAAAGGAGACUGCCAGUGAUAAACUGGAGGAAGGUGGGGAUGACGUCAAGUCAUCAUGGCCCUUACGACCAGGGCUACACACGUGCUACAAUGGCGCAUACAAAGAGAAGCGACCUCGCGAGAGCAAGCGGACCUCAUAAAGUGCGUCGUAGUCCGGAUUGGAGUCUGCAACUCGACUCCAUGAAGUCGGAAUCGCUAGUAAUCGUGGAUCAGAAUGCCACGGUGAAUACGUUCCCGGGCCUUGUACACACCGCCCGUCACACCAUGGGAGUGGGUUGCAAAAGAAGUAGGUAGCUUAACCUUCGGGAGGGCGCUUACCACUUUGUGAUUCAUGACUGGGGUGAAGUCGUAACAAGGUAACCGUAGGGGAACCUGCGGUUG
RNAcentral lists this ribosomal RNA (1521 nucleotides) under metagenome. RNAcentral describes it as "bacterial SSU rRNA". It matches the Rfam family "Bacterial small subunit ribosomal RNA". The record is from RNAcentral.